This 452-nucleotide ribosomal RNA is filed under the name uncultured bacterium. Its description in RNAcentral is "bacterial SSU rRNA". It matches the Rfam family "Bacterial small subunit ribosomal RNA", at positions 28 to 481 of the family's 1533-position model. The record is from RNAcentral.
GACGAACGCUGGCGGCGUGCUUAAUACAUGCAAGUCAACUUGACUUUAGAUAGCAAUAUCGAAAAGUAGGGUGGCGCACGGGUGCGUAACGCGUAGGUAAUCUGCCCUGAGGUCUGACAUAACCCGUCGAAAGGCGGGCUAACAUCAGAUGAUAUAUAAUCACGACAUCGUGGAAAUAUCAAAUCUUCGGAGCCUUGGGAUGAGCCUGCGUCUGAUUAGGUAGUUGGCGGAGUAAUAGCCCACCAAGCCUACGAUCAGUAGCUGGUCUGAGAGGAUGAUCAGCCACACUGGAACUGAGACACGGUCCAGACUCCUACGGGAGCAGCAGUAAGGAAUAUUGCUCAAUGGGGGAAACCCUGAAGCAGCAACGCCGCGUGAAGGAUGAAAUACUUUUGAUGUAAACUUCUGUAAGAUGGGAAAAAUAUUCUCCUCGGGAGAAUUGAUUGUACCAU